GGUGAGCAGGUCUGAGUUGUCCCCGGUGAACACAACGUCUUGCCCUGACGGCUGACAAACAGCGACUUAGCAACCAAUGCACGUGGAGAUAAAUUCCUCCCAAAAGGAAAGGACUUUCGGAGUUACAAGUAGAAAGUAGCGAACGCCUCGCCUCACCUCAACCCUCCCGUUCAGACUCUCUCAGUGUAGUGUCCUCACACCGCCGAGAUGAAAGCCUACCUCUCCUCCUAUUCCAGGAACGCGGCCCUCCGCACGGCCGAGGAAAGAGAUUGUAUGAGCAGUAAAGCAAUCAUGGGGGCAGGAUCAAAACAACUUCUGAAUUUGCCGCUUGGGGCCAAGCUUCCCUUGCUUCCAGGUAGUGGCGUUUUGCUGUACACAACGACACUGGGUGAAAAGCUUCACCAACCAUCUUGUGAGUUCAACCUCACGGACCCCAACUUGCACCUGUUAAAACUCAACUAUCAGAGCCUUCAUGAUCCUUAUUUAAGUGGUUACUACAGGCGUAAAGACAUACUGAAAAAGUUAAAAAAUCAGGGGCUUAUUACAGAAAACAAUAAGAUUAUUUGCACCCUGAAGGAAUUUAAUCAGUAUAGACAGUAUUUAACCAGUAUCAAAUUAGACUUUGAAAGGAAGUAUGCACAAGAACAGCGGCUACUUGCAAAGCAAUUACUGAAUCUUCAAGAUCAAGGUUUUGCUCAGGGGAUAAGCCUUUCUGAUCUGCAGGAAUGGCUCACAAAUGAAUCCAAGAAAAAUAUAAGUAAAAAGACUCUGAGGGACAGGUAUUUCAAUAUGAUUCAAACAGAAGAAAAGAUCAAAAACUUGAUAAAAGAACAGAAAUGCUGUGCGGUUCUGGCAGACUCAAGCAAAGAUAGUCAAAAGGCUAAAGAAUUGGUACACCAAAUUCAGCAAGAGGAAUUGAAUAUGAAGGACAGGUCCGUUUUAAUGCGACUUGAAGAAGAUGUGAAGAGUGAAUUUAAUCUGGAAAAAAGAAGACGGAAGGCAAAGGAAGAGAGAGCCAGAAAGAGACAAGAAUCAUUCGAAAGAAAAAUGGAUCACCAAAUUAAAAAACUGCAUGAGUUUAUUGAGCGACAAGAAGAGUACGAUCGAUGCAGAGGGGAAGGUGCUGAACGCAGAGAGAGAAUUGGUCAUCCCCGUGCUAGAAGAGAGAACAUGGUCCCUACUUACAAGUGAAUAGCGCUUCUAGCAAGCAUAAAUGAGCCUAGAUGAGUGUGGCUCCAACAAAACUGAAGAAGCUCGACACCAUCCAGGACAAAGCAGCCGGCUUGAUCGGCACCCCAUCCACCAUCUCCUUAAACAUUCAGUCCCUCUACCACCAACACACAAUGGCAACUGUGUGUACCAAAUACAAGAUACAUGGCAGCAACUUGCCAACUUCCUACGAUAGCACAUUCCAGCCUUAUAACCUCUACCAACUAGAAGGAAAAAGGCAGCAGAUAUAUGGGAACGGCAGCACCUGCAAGUUCCCCUCCAAACUACACACCACCCUGAAUUGGAAAUAUAUUGCGAUUCCUCCAAAGUCACCUGGAUCAAAAUUGUGGAACUAUUUCCCAACACCACCAUGGGUGUUAUGACAUCAGAUUGACCGCAGCAAAAAAAAGGAGGUGACUUAGCAUCACCUUCUUAAGGGCAGUUCAGAUUGGGCAACAAAUGCUGGUUUUGGUAACAACACCAUCAUUCCUUCAAAGAGUUAAAAAGUACAUAUGAGUAAAUUGUUUCACUUGGAAGUGCUGUUUGAAUCUUUGAAUUUUGAGAAGAGAAGGUGUAAAAGAUGUGGUGUUCCAUCAGCUGUGGUUGCAUGAAAGGUACUGCAAGAAAGGGACAUGGUAGUGGGGUAACUAAAGAAUGGACUCUGGCAUCAUGGAGAGAAUGGCCUUUUCAGAAUGCUGGAAGAAUAGGGUUGGGGAAGAUUUUUUUGAUGUUGAUCUUAAGAUGGAGGUGGCCAAAAUGACAGUGGAUCAUUAAUUGAAUAUAGAGGCUGGGUGUGAUAGAAGGCUGGGAGAAGAGAAUCUGUCAUGGUUUUGUGAGAGAUAGAAAAAGCUGAGUGCAGAAUACUUAAUAGAGUGGACAUGGUAGGGAGCCCAGUAAACCAUGCUGGGGGAUAGGGAAGGGAAUACUUGGAUGAGGGUAAAGGAAGACUUAGCAGAAGUACUGGUAUUGAAGUUGCAAAAUCUGAACAGAUGCAACAAAGAAGGAAAACCUGGCAGAGUGGAAAGGAGAGGGUGUGAGGAAGAGUAGGGAAGUUAAAGUUCCUGUGGGAGUCUGUAAGUUAUAUGAUAACUGACUCCAUUUCCAGUAAUAGGCUAAGCUUAGGAAAGUGAAGAGUCAGAAGUGAACUAAGUGAAGAUGAAUGGACAGAAACUGGAAAAAAAUGUCAUUGGAACUUUCCAGUUUUUGGCCAGACCAUGAAGCAUCAAUACUUUCAUCAUUUUGUCAGAAAAAAAGAGAGGGCAUUUAGGGAGAAGGAGUGUUGCUGGGUAACAUUGGAAUAAGCUAUUCAAUUUGUUUUUAGCUAGUUUGCGACUUACUGAUGAAUGUUUCUAACAUUUUGCACUUUCAUAUCAUUUGACAAUAUUUUCUGUUCAAGAUUAAAAUUACAGAUGUGUUCAUAUCACAAAAAACAGCUUGGACCCAAGCAGGCACUCAUGGCAAUAAAUUUUAUUUCGAGGAAGUGUGGAGUCGACUGACAAGUUGUUCAAAAUGGGAACGUGUUCAGUGAAGUUGCAAAGGGUGAUGAUGAAUAGAGACUGGUUAGGCUUUGUUCAAGGACAAAACAGCAAUUGAGCCAUCCUGCUGGAUGAAAGAGGUGCUGAAGGAUUGAGGUCCAUGUUAAAGAGGAAACUCUUAGGGCCAUGACAAAGGUAACAUUGAAAGUGACUUAAGGCAUCAGAAAAGUCACAGAUUUAGAUAGAAAAUGGAAGGACAAGGGAUGGAUGUUUUCUUGUAAACUUCUCUGCCAGAAGGCUGCUCAAACCCAGAACACAAUAACCUCCAUCCUGGGUCAGGCAAUGAGUCAGGUCCAAAGUAUGCAUCAGCCAGAAUGGAUGAAAUCCCAUACUGUUGGCACUACUGUGAUUCAGACAAGCAUUUUACCAGCUCACCAACCAGCCAUGGAGUUGCUGCGGCAAUGUUUAAUUUUACCUACAUAUUAUCGUCUGGAACUGUGUAUCGUGGUGGUAGAGGCUCCAGUCUCUGGUUCAUUAAUCGCUUUCAUGGAAGUGAAUCUGCCACUCUGCCAGUUUGAUCUACACUCCAAAGCUACAGCGUAGUAUUUUGACACCAUUAAGCCUGAAUUAUGACAGUCAGGGAGGGACAAUAAAUGCUGGCCAAGCUAGUGAUGUCAGCAUCCCAUGAAUGAAUUCAAAAAUAAUUGGGGCUAAAUCAGUGUUUUUUUAAAAAUUCUCUGUAACUUUUACUAGAUGUCUACAUUAAUAAACUCCGCAUAUAUCCUGUUAACCCUUUCUCAAUGUGCCUUGACAUUUCAAAGAUUUGUUCACAUAUACCCACUGGUCUUUUCUCCUGCAUCUUCUGAAAUUCUGUCAUUUAUUUUAUUUUGCUUUUCCUCAUUCUUCUUGCCAAAUUGUUUCACUUUCCACUCCUCUAUUAUACUUCAUCUGCCAUAUAGAACCACAGAAUCCCUAUUGUGUGAAAGCAGGCCAUUUGGCCCAUUGAGAUUACACUGACCCUCUGAAGAGCAUAACUCCCAGACCCACCUCCCUAUCCUAUCUCUGUAACCCUGCAUUUACUAUGCCUAACCCAUCCAGCCUGCACAUCCCUGGAUACUAUGGUCAAUUUAGCACGGCCAAACCACCUAACCUGCACAUCUUUGGUAUGUCCACCUGUUCCACCAAUCUGUUAUUUGCCUCUUGAAGCCUAUCAUAUAUGCCUCAAAUUUCAAGUUUUGUGUCAUCUACAUAUGUAGAAAUUGUGUCCUGCACACACAUGUCAUUCAUGUAGACCUAAAAAAGAAAUGCUCGUAACACUGACUGCUUGGAAACCCCAUUCUACAUCUCCAUCCAGUGUAAAAAAAACUAUUCGCUAUUAUUCAUUGAGAGACAGGCUGCAGGAACCAAAGAUCUGACUGGAGAUGGAAUACAGCUGUUAUAAAUGGAAUCCUGGUGGAAAUGGAAUGUGCCCUAAUUUCCGUGAGUACAUAUUCUAUUCCAGUGCCAACAAUCUCUGAAAAUGUUGAGCAAGUUUGAAGUCAAUACAAUCAAGGUGAUUUUCCAGAACUGGACUUUAGAGCUAUGCAGUAAUGGUAGCCGAAGAAAUCUCACAAGAUACAGAAAAAAGGAUGAUCAUAACAUGAAUUCAGUGAAUGAGUUGCUGUACAAUGAUGUUAACUUAUGACAUAGCAUUAAGACAAGUGAUGUGCUAUUUCACUUAAUAUGGGAUUACAUUUUGCUGAUGUUCUGUCGUGUUUCAAGUCUUCCAUUGUAUGACCAUGUCUUUUAUUUAAACAGGGGUUUCUAAAAAACCAGGCAAACCUGAUCCAAGAUGCCUAGAUGAGAAGUGGGCCCGGCUACACAGAGGUGAAUGUGCAAUACUCCCUGAAGGUCAUUCAGUAGUGCUUACAGAAAAACCAAAAUUGAAGGUUGCAAAACCUAAGGUGACUCUAGAAGACCUCAACAAAUUAAUUCAGAAUAUCAUAACAUUUGUAGUGACUGUGUUGACCAGCACCAUCUAUCCUGCCAU
Molecule: RNA transcript, 4713 nt
Organism: Stegostoma tigrinum
Lineage: Eukaryota; Metazoa; Chordata; Chondrichthyes; Orectolobiformes; Stegostomatidae
Gene name: fibrous sheath-interacting protein 2-like
Exons: 11
Source: RefSeq, a predicted model, not a curated record